This 326-nucleotide unclassified non-coding RNA is filed under the name soil metagenome. RNAcentral's name for it is "partial contains 5.8S ribosomal RNA, internal transcribed spacer 2, and large subunit ribosomal RNA". The stretch from base 1 to 120 matches the Rfam family "5.8S ribosomal RNA", at positions 35 to 154 of the family's 154-position model. The record is from RNAcentral.
GAUGAAGAACGCAGCGAAAUGCGAUAAGUAGUGUGAAUUGCAGAAUUUAGUGAAUCAUCGAAUCUUUGAACGCACAUUGCGCCCUAUAGUAUUCUGUAGGGCAUGCCUGUUCGAGCGUUAUUGAGACCUCAAGCUCUGCUUGGAAAUGGGCGCUUGUCUUGCCUUGCAGACUCGCCUUAAAACCAUUGGCAGCUGAUUUACAAUGUUUGGUGCACAGUACAUGAGCCCAAGUGUUGCAAUGAGUGGCCCAAAAGUAUACAAUAGAAGCUUAACCUCGGAUCAGGUAGGGAUACCCGCUGAACUUAAGCAUAUCAAUAAGCGGAGGA